This 696-nucleotide ribosomal RNA is filed under the name uncultured beta proteobacterium. Its description in RNAcentral is "bacterial SSU rRNA". It matches the Rfam family "Bacterial small subunit ribosomal RNA", at positions 64 to 755 of the family's 1533-position model. Lineage: Bacteria; Pseudomonadati; Pseudomonadota; Betaproteobacteria. The record is from RNAcentral.
GAACGAUGAACCUUAGCUUGCUAAGGGGAUUAGUGGCGAACGGGUGAGUAAUAUAUCGGAACGUGCCUUGUAAUGGGGGAUAACUAGUCGAAAGAUUAGCUAAUACCGCAUACGCCCUGAGGGGGAAAGUAGGGGAUCUUCGGACCUUACGUUAUAAGAGCGGCCGAUAUCUGAUUAGCUAGUUGGUGGGGUAAUGGCCUACCAAGGCUUCGAUCAGUAGCUGGUCUGAGAGGACGACCAGCCACACUGGAACUGAGACACGGUCCAGACUCCUACGGGAGGCAGCAGUGGGGAAUUUUGGACAAUGGGCGCAAGCCUGAUCCAGCCAUUCCGCGUGAGUGAAGAAGGCCUUCGGGUUGUAAAGCUCUUUCGCAAGGGAAGAAAACUUACACAAUAACACUGUGUGAGGCUGACGGUACCUUGAUAAGAAGCACCGGCUAACUACGUGCCAGCAGCCGCGGUAAUACGUAGGGUGCGAGCGUUAAUCGGAAUUACUGGGCGUAAAGCGUGCGCAGGCGGUUUGGCAAGUCAGAUGUGAAAUCCCCGAGCUCAACUUGGGAACUGCGUUUGAAACUGCCAGACUAGAAUAUGUCAGAGGGGGGUAGAAUUCCACGUGUAGCAGUGAAAUGCGUAGAGAUGUGGAGGAAUACCAAUGGCGAAGGCAGCCCCCUGGGAUAAUAUUGACGCUCAUGCACG